This 5280-nucleotide long non-coding RNA is filed under the name Homo sapiens (human). RNAcentral describes it as "non-protein coding lnc-TXNDC16-4:1". Lineage: Eukaryota; Metazoa; Chordata; Mammalia; Primates; Hominidae. The record is from RNAcentral.
GCAGCCGAUUGUUCCUCCAAAGGCCAAGUACCAUGCUCACUGAGGGUAGGUUUUGUAGCUCCUUCUGACACUUUACAUGAAGUGCCUUGUCAGCACAUCUGUAGCCUUGACCACAGCUUAAAUGUUUGUAUACUCCUUUUUAUUAGGGCAGCUUCAUUUUGUUUACACACUGUUUUCAUUUCUCCAAGGAACAAUUUCAAAAUGAUCUUCCAGAUGCUAUAUAACUAAGAACUUUUAAACUACUGACCUCAAAGGUCAGCCUGUUUACUGGCAUCUGACUGUGUAGAACAGGAAGUUUGUGUUGCAUCUUGUGUUCUUAAUGAAAUCCGACAACAGAGGACUGAACGCAUUAGUCUCAGAACAGGAGGCCUAAGGAUGGCAAAGACCCAAGGGUCAAUUAUUGAAUUAAUUGAUAAAAACCUAAGAGCUUGGAGGUCCCAUUUUUCCUUUCGGGAAGAGGUUUCAUUCAUAUAUGCAAAAAUCUGUAAGAAGCAAAGGGGAAAAAUGAUGUUAGUUUUACAUCGUAGCAGUAGACAGGCUUAGACCCUAUGUUAUGUCUUGAGAUUUAAAAGCAAAACCAUGUUUUGUCUGUGGUAGUGGUGGGGAACGAAAGGUGGGGGUUGGGAAUCUUACCUUUCUUCCUUAUGUAAACUGUAACAUAAUGAAUGUAUUUUUUCCCCUUGAACUCAAUGAAAGCAUGUUUUCUGUGGAAUGCAAUUAACAUUAACACCAUGCACAAUGUCUUGGUGUCAUUGGGAGUGGAGAGAAAUAAACUUUUCUUGUCAUCUAGAAUAGAAUCUUUUAACAAUAUAAAUAAUAAUGAUAAUAUUAGUAGCUCCAGUGUAUCAAUAACCUAAUAUAUGUGUCAUGAAUUGUUCUGGGUACUAACCCCGCUUUAUCUCUACUCCUUAUAGAAACUCUGAAACUUAGAGAUUGUCUCUUUUUAACAGAUAGGGAAGUGAACUUCAGGAAAACUAAUAACAUGUUACAUUUACUUCCAAAUACUAAAUCUAAUGAUCACAAUUCAGCGAGACAGGGUCUGCAAUGGAACACCCUGAGUGGGAGUAUGAGUUCUGGCCAUUGGACUGGGUUUGAAUCCUACCUCUGUAUAUAGUUUGAGAUCAAUGGCAAGAUAUUAAUAAUGAACCUUUGUGCCUCAGUUUUGACAUCUUUAAAAUGGGUGAUAAUAAUAACAUACCCACUUCAUAGAGUUGCUGAAAGGAUGAUAGGAAGUGAUAUGUGUAAGCUACUUAGAUCAGUGCUCACAUCCUAAGUGCUCCACAGUGUUCAUUGUUAUUAUAUCCAUUUUACAAAUGCAGACACUGGGGUAUAGAAAAUUAGAUAAUUUGCUCAAGUACCCAGAGCUGGUUAGUGGCCAAAUCAGGAUGCAAAUUCCAACUCUCCUGAUGCCAGUGCAGUGCUCACUGUGUGCUACGUGCAGGCCUGUAUUAGAGCAAAGGCCUCAGAACAAUGUCCUGAACACUGGAAAGCUGACACAUCUUUACAUAUGGACCAAACUGCUCUACCAGCCCUCAAACGAUUUCUUAGUUAUUUAGGGAGCAACAUAAAUGUUUGGGCAGGUUGGAAGGAAUGGAAUAAUGCAUCUUGAUAAAGAUCACACUUCUACAAAAUUCACAGAAAAGAGGAAAACAAAGGUAGAUCACACCUAGUCAUUUAAAACCAGUGCUUUAUAAGGCUCCAGGGUCUUUCUUACCAAUGGCUUUAGACACCUAGCCCCUCUUUUCUUCACUCGCCUUCUGCAGAAGAAGGAGCAGCUUGUUUCCCUUCUCUGAGUACUUACUCUGCAGGCAUCUGGCAACUGGAUAUACAAAGCAAAUUGCAGAGAGCGCAAAGGGUAGUCAUCUUCAGUUUGCUUAUGUUGGGACAAGAGCAGGAAGGUUUGGCAGCCAUAGGUGUUUAUGCCGGAGAAUCUUGGCAUAGGGAAUGGAGAAAAGAUUUGGCAGAUGAGUAAGGAAAAAGAAGAAUUGAUGGUGGGUUUCCCAGAGAGUAGAGGAAAGCUAGGUGAGGAGGUGCAAUGGAGCAAUAGCUUUCUUGUCAGUUAAACUAUUUUGGAUGAAAACUACACAGGCUGGUGUGUUAAAAGAGUGAUUUGGAGGUAAGAAAUUCAGGAUAAUGAUGCACAUAGGUCUACAGAUUAAAACACAUAUUAGUGAUUACAUAUGCACACACACGUGUGCACAUGAUGCAUAACUGAGCACUCCUGUAGAAAGGGCCUGCAGCUGAGUUGAUGAUCUAGUUUAACCAGAGAACAUAUUCACACUGAAUUGGCCAGCCAAGAAGUGCAGAAAAGGCAUAGCCUCUGGUGUUGCAGCUUCACACAUUAAGAUGAGUCAGGUUUUCAGGGGAGAAUAACCCACAUCAGAGUUCCUGAAUGUCUUUAGAGCGUGACAGAAUAAUGAGAAGUGAAAAUUGGUUGUAGAGGAUGAAGCAAUUCUGUACUGUUUCCUUUCCUUUAUCAUCUACUAUGCUGGGUAAUUUUGAGAAUUGCUUAAAAUUUGCACUUUGGAGGUGACCAAUAUUUUGUAGAAGACGGCUUUUUUUUUGAGAUGGAGUCUCACUCUGUCGCCCAGGAUAGAGUGCAGUGGCGUGAUCUCCACUCACUGCAACCUCUGCCUCCUGCGUUCAAGUGAUUCUCCUGCUGCAGCCUCCUGAGUAGCUGGGAUUACAGGCACCCGCCACCACGCCUGGCUAAUUUUUGUAUUUUUAGUAGAGAUGGGGUUUCACCAUGUUGGACAGGCUGGUCUUGAACUCCUGACCUCAAGUGAUCUGCCUGCCUUGGCCUCCCGAAGUGCUGGGAUUACAGGUGUGAGCCACUGCGCCCAGCCAGUUCCUUCUUUUAUACUUGGAGAAGAGACAUACUUCAGUGACCCUCGAAAUUCUUGAUGUAAGUUUUGUCUUCUACCUCCCCAUUUUUUUCUUUUGGUUCUUGUCUUUUGCCUAGAUUACUAUAUUUUUGAUCUUAUGGAUACUGGGAUUUUAAAAAAUUGUGGUAAAAUAAAUAUAACAUAAAAUUUACCAUUUUGCCAUUUUCAGCUAUACAUUAAAUACAUUUACAUUGUGGGGCAAUCAUAUUGUUUAUAUUUUCACUUUUCUGCAUAUUAUGCUUUGACAUCUUAAAUUCUUCUUGGCUGGGAGAGAAUGCCCCUCCGGGGCUAGCUAAUUUGUAGAGAUAGCAAAGAGUUAGGCUGGGAGCAUGUCUUUGAUAUACAGACUAACCUAUCCAGGGCCAGAACUCUUCUAUCAAGGAAAUAUUUAUUCCUCUGCUUUUAUCAUUCCAAUGCCAGGUACCAGGCAACUAGGGACCACCCCUAUAGCUUAGAGCCUGCUGAAAUUAUUCAACCUAACCAAUCCUAAACUGUUUACCCUGCUCUGCCUUUCUUGUGGAAACUCCAAUAAAGGCUUGGCCCAGGUCCUCCCCACCCUCCUGCCUCUCUGCCUCCUGACUGAAACCGAUGCUUUUUCAUGUGGCCCUGAGUGGUCCACCAUGUCUGUGUUUUCCUGAACAUCUCCUGUGUCUCUUCUUGUGGAUGCACUUGACUGCAUCCACGUAAAAGAACAAAGAACAGCAACCAUCACUACCAUCUCCAGAAUUAUUUUCAUCAUCCCAAAUUGAAACUCUGUACCCAUUAAACAAUAACUGCCCAUUCUCCUCUCCCUCCGGCCAGUCCUGAGUUUUUAGUUAAAGGAUGUCACAAAGGAUAUAAGAUAAUUAAUUAAUAAUAUGUCAGUGAUAUUCGGCAAUUCAGUUUCAGAGGUUGGUAGAAGUUAUCCAUCUUUUUGUGUGCACUACCAAUGUAUUUGUUAUGAGAAAAAUACCAAGUGCUAAUCCCAAUGAGUCAAGUGAAUUUUAAUUCCUCAGGGCAGGCUGUCUCUACAGGGCUUUGUUAAGAAGGUAAAGCCUUGUUGUGACAUUUACAAAGUGGCACAGAUGAGAAUUAGUGCUAUUUUAGCAUUGUCAUGUAUAGAAGCAGCCUCCCAUAGAAAACUUCAUUUUGGCACUGACCAGGUACUAUUCUUUUGCGCUACUUUUCUAUCUUUAAUGCAAUUACAAAGUGGGUUCAGAAUUUUAGAGCAAAUGAGGGCUUUAUUUGGCCGAUCAUUGAAAUCACCUGAGGAGCUUUAAAAAUAGGUUGGGUGCGGUGGCUCACGCCUGUAAUCCUAGCACUUUGGGAGGCCGAGGCAGGCAGGUCACCUGAGGUGAGAAGUUUGAGACCAGCCUGGCCAACAUGGUGAAACUACAUCUCUACUAAAAAAUACAAAAAUUACCCAGGCGUGUUGGUGGGCACCUGUAAUCCCAGCUACUUGGAAGGCUGAGGGGAAGGAUUGCUUGAACCUAGGAGGCAGAGGUUGUAGUAAGCUGAGAUCACACCACUGCAUUUCAGCCUGGGUGACAGAGUGAGUCUCUGUCUCAAAAUAAAUACAUACAUACAUACACACAUACAUACAUACAUACAUGCAUAAAAAUAUUCUGAGGCAUUUCUCCCUUCCCCAGAUGUUGCAGGAAGUCAGGGACCCCAAAUGGAAGGACUGGUUGGAGCCGCGGCAGAGGAAUAUAAAUUGUGAAGAUUUCAUGGACAUUUAUCCGUUCCCAAAUAAUACUCUUAUAAUUUCUUACGCCUGUCUUACUUUAAUCUCUUAAUCCUGUUAUCUUCGUAAGCUGAGGAUGUACGUCACCUCAGGACCACUAUGAUAUUUGUGUUAACUGUACAAAUUGAUUGUAAAACAUAUGUGUUUGAACAAUAUGAAAUCAGUGCACCUUGAAAAAGAACAGAAUAACAGCGAUUUUCAGGGAACAAGGGAAGAAAACCACAAGGUCUGACUGGCUGUGGGGUCGGGCAAAAUAGAGCCGUAUUUUUCUUCUUGCAGAGAGCCUAUAAACUGACAUGCAUGUAGGGAAGAUAUUGUUAAAUUCUUUUCCUAGCAAAGAAUAUUAAUAAUUAAUACCCUGGAGAAGGAAUGCAUUCCUGGGGGGAGGUCUAUAAACGGCCGCUCUGGGAGUGUCUGUCUUAUGCGGUUGAGAUAAGGACUGAAAUACGCCCUGGUCUCCUGCAGUACCCUCAGGCUUACUAGGGUGGGGAAAAAAACCCACCCUGGUUAAUUUGAGGUCAGACUGGUUCUCUGCUCUCGAACCCUGUUUUCUGUUGUUUAAGAUGUUUAUCAAGACAAUACGUGCACCACUGAACAUAGACCCUUAUCAGUAAUUCUGCUUUUGCCCUUUGCCUUGUGAUCUUUGCUUUUGCCCUUUGCCUUGUGAUCUUU